CAAUGGUAACAAAGAGAAUUUAAUAAUAAUGUACAAUAAUUCUAUCGCUAUUUUAAAACCCCACUAGCCACAAUAAUGGCUGCUGAAGCUCUCAUCGUUGUCAUGGGAUUCUUAUUAGCCUGUUCUUAAGGAAGCUGAGAGAUGUUUCCUAAAAAUACAUUUAAUGUUGUUUAAGAUUUUGUAAAUGUGUCAGUUUCCCAGAAAUCCCUCCUUUUCUUCAUCUCCCAGCAGCACUUCUGCAUACCUGAGGACUGCAAAAAAUGGCUCCGUGCCAUAAUACACUUCGAAGUUUCAAACUCUGCUAGCAAGGGUCAUUGUGGCCAAAGGCAUCUGGAUGCUUUUUUUCCUGCACUAAGUCUGAAGGCUCUGCACAAUUUGCUGAUGAUGUACACUCUCGGCAGCUCCACACCACCAUCAGAAAGGAGAUGGCUAACCAGCAGUGCUAGAGCUAGACAAGGUGCAAAGAGAUAAGAUGCAAUCACGUGCCAGGACCGUGUUGUAUGGAUUGUGUUGGCCCAGCUGCUCGUGGAUGAGCAUGGUUAUGGAAGAAGUGUUCCACCUGCAGCUUCUGCAUCCAGGGGCUACAGCUGCAUUCCCACUGAAUUUCAGAGUUUCAGUCCCAAGUGCCAUUGGGUAG
This 637-nucleotide long non-coding RNA is filed under the name Anser brachyrhynchus (Pink-footed goose). RNAcentral describes it as "lncRNA (ENSABRG00000018703.1)". The record is from RNAcentral. Lineage: Eukaryota; Metazoa; Chordata; Aves; Anseriformes; Anatidae.